UCGGGAAUUUUGGGCAAUGGGCGAAAGCCUGACCCAGCAACGCCGCGUGAAGGAUGAAGUAUUUCGGUAUGUAAACUUCGAAAGAAUGGGAAGAAUAAAUGACGGUACCAUUUAUAAGCUCCGGCUAACUACGUGCCAGCAGCCGCGGUAAUACGUAGGGAGCAAGCGUCGUUCGGAUUUACUGGGCGUAAAGGGCGCGUAGGCGGCCUGUCAAGUCAACUGUGAAAUCUCCGGGCUUAACUCGGAACGGUCAGUUGAUACUGUCAGGCUAGAGUGCAGAAGGGGCAAUCGGAAUUCUUGGUGUAGCGGUGAAAUGCGUAGAUAUCAAGAGGAACACCUGAGGUGAAGACGGGUUGCUGGGCUGACACUGACGCUGAGGCGCGAAAGCCAGGGGAGCAAA
Molecule: ribosomal RNA, 400 nt
Filed under: uncultured bacterium
Lineage: Bacteria
Description: bacterial SSU rRNA
Rfam family: Bacterial small subunit ribosomal RNA
Source: RNAcentral